ACUGCUCAGUAACACGUGGACAACCUGCCCUUAGGUUGGGUAUAAACCCGGGAAACUGGGUAUAAUACCCGAUAGGUCUCGAUUGCUGGAAUGCAUCGAGAUUUAAAGCUCCGGCGCCUAAGGAUGGGUCUGCGGCCUAUCAGGUAGUAGUGGGUGUAGCGUACCUACUAGCCUACGACGGGUACGGGUUGUGAGAGCAAGAGCCCGGAGAUGGAUUCUGAGACACGAAUCCAGGCCCUACGGGGUGCAGCAGGCGCGAAAACUUUACAAUGCUGGCAACAGCGAUAAGGGAACCUCGAGUGCCAGGUUACAAAUCUGGCUGUCGAGAUGCCUAAAAAGCAUUUCAUAGCAAGGGCCGGGCAAGACCGGUGCCAGCCGCCGCGGUAACACCGGCGGCUCGAGUGGUAACCGUUAUUAUUGGGUCUAAAGGGUCUGUAGCCGGCCGGAUAAGUCUCUUGAGAAAUCUGGCAGCUUAACUGUCAGGCUUUCAGGAGAUACUGUCUGGCUCGAGGCCGGGAGAGGUGAGAGGUACUUCAGGGGUAGGGGUGAAAUCUUGUAAUCCUUGAAGGACCACCAGUGGCGAAGGCGUCUCACCAGAACGGACCUGACGGCAAGGGACGAAAGCUAGGGGCACGAACCGGAUUAGAUACCCGGGUAGUCCUAGCCGUAAACGAUACUCGCUAGGUGUCGGCCACGGUGCGACCGUUGUCGGUGCCGUAGGGAAGCCGUGAAGCGAGCCACCUGGGAAGUACGGCCGCAAGGCUGAAGCUUAAAGGAAUUGGCGGGGGAGCAC
Molecule: ribosomal RNA, 793 nt
Filed under: Methanosaeta sp. enrichment culture clone A14101
Lineage: Archaea; Methanobacteriati; Methanobacteriota; Methanomicrobia; Methanotrichales; Methanotrichaceae
Description: bacterial SSU rRNA
Rfam family: Archaeal small subunit ribosomal RNA
Source: RNAcentral